Molecule: ribosomal RNA, 133 nt
Filed under: uncultured bacterium
Lineage: Bacteria
Description: partial 16S ribosomal RNA
Rfam family: Bacterial small subunit ribosomal RNA
Source: RNAcentral
GGGGAAUUUUGCGCAAUGGGCGCAAAGCCUGACGCAGCAACGCCGCGUGAGUGAAGACGCUUUUCGGAGUGUAAAGCUCUGUCAGAGGGGACGAAUCGCCGUGGUCUCAAUAGGGCCAUGGUCUGACGGUACC